AAGCAGGGGAUCGCAAGACCUUGUGCUCCUGGAGCGGCCGAUAUCUGAUUAGCUAGUUGGUGAGGUAAAGGCUCACCAAGGCAACGAUCAGUAGCUGGUCUGAGAGGACGACCAGCCACACUGGAACUGAGACACGGUCCAGACUCCUACGGGAGGCAGCAGUGGGGAAUUUUGGACAAUGGGGGCAACCCUGAUCCAGCAAUGCCGCGUGAGUGAAGAAGGCCUUCGGGUUGUAAAGCUCUUUGUCAGGGAAGAAAAGGUCGUGGCUAAUAUCCACGACUGCUGACGGUACCUGAAGAAUAAGCACCGGCUAACUACGUGCCAGCAGCCGCGGUAAUACGUAGGGUGCAAGCGUUAAUCGGAAUUACUGGGCGUAAAGCGUGCGCAGGCGGUUUCGUAAGUCUGUCGUGAAAUCCCCGGGCUUAACCUGGGAAUGGCGAUGGAGACUGCGAGGCUAGAGUUUGGCAGAGGGGGGUAGAAUUCCACGUGUAGCAGUGAAAUGCGUAGAGAUGUGGAGGAACACCGAUUGGCGAAGGCAGCCCCCUGGGUCAAAACUGACGCUCAUGCACGAAAGCGUGGGGAGCAAACAGGAUUAGAUACCUGGUAGUCCACGCCCUAAACGAUGUCUACUAGUUGUUGGGUCUUAAUUGACUUAGUAACGCAGCUAACGCGUGAAGUAGACCGCCUGGGGAGUACGGUCGCAAGAUUAAAACUCAAAGGAAUUGACGGGGACCGCACAAGCGGUGGAUGAUGUGGAUUAAUUCGAUGCAACGCGAAAAACCUUACCUACCCUUGACAUGGCAGGAAUCCUGGAGAGAUCUGGGAGUGCUCGAAAGAGAACCUGCACACAGGUGCUGCAUGGCUGUCGUCAGCUCGUGUCGUGAGAUGUUGGGUUAAGUCCCGCAACGA
Molecule: ribosomal RNA, 909 nt
Filed under: Duganella sp. JCN109
Lineage: Bacteria; Pseudomonadati; Pseudomonadota; Betaproteobacteria; Burkholderiales; Oxalobacteraceae
Description: bacterial SSU rRNA
Rfam family: Bacterial small subunit ribosomal RNA
Source: RNAcentral